AUUGAACGCUGGCGGCAGGCCUAACACAUGCAAGUCGAGCGGAUGAAGGGAGCUUGCUCCUGGAUUCAGCGGCGGACGGGUGAGUAAUGCCUAGGAAUCUGCCUGGUAGUGGGGGAUAACGUCCGGAAACGGGCGCUAAUACCGCAUACGUCCUGAGGGAGAAAGUGGGGGAUCUUCGGACCUCACGCUAUCAGAUGAGCCUAGGUCGGAUUAGCUAGUUGGUGGGGUAAAGGCCUACCAAGGCGACGAUCCGUAACUGGUCUGAGAGGAUGAUCAGUCACACUGGAACUGAGACACGGUCCAGACUCCUACGGGAGGCAGCAGUGGGGAAUAUUGGUCAAUGGGCGAAAGCCUGAUCCAGCCAUGCCGCGUGUGUGAAGAAGGUCUUCGGAUUGUAAAGCACUUUAAGUUGGGAGGAAGGGCAGUAAGUUAAUACCUUGCUGUUUUGACGUUACCAACAGAAUAAGCACCGGCUAACUUCGUC
This 484-nucleotide ribosomal RNA is filed under the name uncultured bacterium. Its description in RNAcentral is "partial 16S ribosomal RNA". It matches the Rfam family "Bacterial small subunit ribosomal RNA", at positions 30 to 507 of the family's 1533-position model. The record is from RNAcentral.